UACGUAGGGGGCUAGCGUUGUCCGGAAUCAUUGGGCGUAAAGAGCGUGUAGGCGGCUCAGUAAGUCCGCUGUGAAAGUCCAGGGCUCAACCCUGGAAUGCCAGUGGAAACUGUUGAGCUAGAGUCCGGAAGAGGCGAGUGGAAUUCCUGGUGUAGCGGUGAAAUGCGCAGAUAUCAGGAAGAACACCCGUGGCGAAGGCGGCUCUCUGGGACGGUACUGACGCUGAGACGCGAAAGCGUGGGGAGCGAACAGG
This 253-nucleotide ribosomal RNA is filed under the name uncultured bacterium. RNAcentral describes it as "partial 16S ribosomal RNA". It matches the Rfam family "Bacterial small subunit ribosomal RNA", at positions 524 to 776 of the family's 1533-position model. The record is from RNAcentral.